RNAcentral lists this ribosomal RNA (1317 nucleotides) under Trachelomonas varians. RNAcentral's name for it is "SSU rRNA". It matches the Rfam family "Bacterial small subunit ribosomal RNA", at positions 93 to 1460 of the family's 1533-position model. Lineage: Eukaryota; Euglenozoa; Euglenophyceae; Euglenales; Euglenaceae. The record is from RNAcentral.
CAGUAACGGACGGGUGAGUAAUGUAUAAGAAUGAACGUUUAGGUAGGGUAUAACAUCAGGAAACUUUUGCUAAUCCCCUAUAGCGCAAAUUUAUUUGUUAAAGGUUUUUCGCCUAGACAUCAGCUUAUAUUUGAUUAGCUAGUUGGUAGGGUAAAGGCUUACCAAGGCUUCGAUCAAUAGCUAGUUUGAGAAAAUGAUUAGCCACACUGGAAUUGAGAUACGGAACAGACUCCUACGGGAGGCAGCAGUGAGGAAUAUUCCGCAAUGGGUGAAAGCUUGACGGAGCAAUGCCGCGUGGAGGAAGAAGGCUCUAGGGUUGUAAUCUCCUUUUGUCACUGAAGAAAGCAUGACGGUAUGUGACGAAUAAGCAACGGCUAAUUCUGUGCCAGCAGCCGCGGUAAUACAGGAGUUGCAAGCGUUAUCCGGAAUUAUUGGGCGUAAAGAGUUUGUAGGCUGUGAAAUGUGUUUGAUGUAAAAACUUAAAGCUUAACUUUAUUUUCGCAUUAAAAACUAUUUUGCUAGAAUAUAGUAGGGGUAAAGGGAAUUCCCAGUGUAGUAGUGAAAUACGUAGAUAUUGGGAGGAACACCGGUGGCGAAAGCGCUUUACUAGGCUAAUAUUGACGCUGAGAAACGAAAGCUAAGGGAGCAAAUCGGAUUAGAUACCCGAGUAGUCUUAGCCGUAAAUGUUGGAUAUUAGGUGGUGGUUUAUUCACUGCUGUAGCUAACGCGUUAAAUAUCCCGCCUGGGGAGUACGCUUGCAAAAGUGAAACUCAAAGGAAUUGAUGGGGAUCUGCACAAGCGGUGGAGCAUGUGGUUUAAUUCGAUGGUACACGAAGAACCUUACCAGGGUUUGACAUGUUAGGAAGUUUUCUGAAAGGAGAAUGUGCCGAAAGGAACCUAAACACAAGUGGUGCAUGGCUGUCGUCAGCUCGUGUUGUGAAAUGUUGGGUUAAGUCCCGUAACGAGCGCAACCCUUAUUCUUAGUUGAUUUUAUUCUUUAAGAAAACUGCUGACGUUAAGUCAGAGGAAGGUGGGGAUGAGGUCAAGUCAUCAUGCCCUUUAUAUCCUGGGCUACACACGUGCUACAAUGAUUAGGACAAUGAGUUGCUAGUUUGUAAAAAUAAGCUAAUCUCUUAAACUUAAUCUCAGUUCAGAUAAAAGACUGCAACUCGUCUUUUUGAAGGCGGAAUCGCUAGUAAUCGCCAAUCAUCUAUGUGGCGGUGAAUACGUUCUCAGAUCUUAUACACACCGCCCGUCACAGCUACGGAAUGGGCUGUGUCUGACGAUAUUAUUCUAACAUUUGAGGGAGAUAUCUAA